RNAcentral lists this long non-coding RNA (3736 nucleotides) under Homo sapiens (human). Its description in RNAcentral is "HSALNT0317765". Lineage: Eukaryota; Metazoa; Chordata; Mammalia; Primates; Hominidae. The record is from RNAcentral.
AUUGCAAGCCUCUGCAGAGGCGCUGGAGCUGGGUCAGUCCGCCGCUCACCCCGCGGCCGCACCUUCCCGCCUUCUCAGUUGUUCAAAGAGAUGGCUUUGAAUUCCAGCUUACAUGGCGUCUUCAACAAAAAGUAAUUGUUUAGAGAAGUGACAAGAUGAAGGAGGACUCUGAGUCCUAGUCUCCCUCCUCGAGUCCCUGUGUGAGCAGAGGUAAACAAUGAAAACUCACCAACCAGGAGAAAUUCACCUAGGACUGGCGCAGAAGGUAUACACCAUGAGCCUGGAAAUGAUUUAAAAAACAACACAGGCUGGGCGCGGUGGCUCACACCUAUAAUCCCAGCACUUUGGGAGGCAGAGGCGGGCGGAUCACUUGAGGUUUGCGAGUUGGAAACCAGUCUGACCAACGUGGAGAAACCCCGUCUUUACUAAAAAUACAAAAUUAGCCAGGUGUGGUGGCGCAUGUCUGUAAUCCCAGCUACUGGGGAAGCUGAGGCAGGAGAAUCCCUUGAACCUGAGAGAUGGAGGUUGAUGUGAGCUGAGAUCACACAAUUGCAGUCCAGCCUGGGCAGCAAGAGUGAAACUCCAUCUCAAAAAAACAAAAAAAACAACCCACAACUGUGGGCCAAAGGGACACAGCGACAAGGGGUCCCAAUGGGCGAGGCUGGAAUAACUUGAAUAGCAGAAUAAAGUAGCAUUGGAUUAUAAUGCACAGGGCUGAAGAAAUAUCGAUGAGUCUUUGCUGAUGUAAUAAGUGACUGAAUGAGCUGGGCAGAGUGGGACCUGUAGUUCAGCUACUCAGAGGCUGAGGUGGGAGCAUCAGUUGAGCCCAGGAGUCAAGGCCUAGUAAUAUCCCAUUUCCAAAAUAAAAGACUGAAUUAAUAAAUAGAUGGGAGAGAGGAGACAAUUGACCAUGCAGGAGGAGUCCAAAUAUUUGUUCUUUGAGGCAGGAUCUUCCUCUGUCAUUCAGAAGGCUGGAGUGCAAUGGUGCGCUGUUGCCUUGCUGCAGCCUGGACCUCCUGGGCUCAGGCAGUUGUCCCACCUCAGCCUCCCAAGUAGCUGGGACCAGAGGCAUGCACAUCCAGCCGAGUCCAAAUAGUGUAUGCAGAUAUGCCCUCACAGAGGUGACCUGAACUUUCUGAGUUGUGAGUGAGCUUCACCUGGGGACCUCCUUUUAGGUAGCAGGGAAAAAGAGGAGGGUGAGCCACACCCAGGCACCUCCUUCCAGAGAGCAUGUGCCUCAGCCUCCAGAGUAGCUGGGAUUGCAGACAUGUGCCACCAGCCCGACUAAUUUUUGUAUUUUUAGUCGAUACGGGGGGGUCUCACUAUGUUGCCCAGGCUGGUCUUGAACUCCUGGGUUCAGGUGAUCUUCCCACUUCAGCCUCCCAAAGUGCUGGGAUUACAGGUGAGAUAAAACUUCCUUAUUCACAGACUACAUGAUUGUCUAUAUAGAGAACACUCAUCUAAAGCAACAGCAAUGAUUGCCACAAAGACCCUCGUAGAGCCAGUAAGUGAGUUUGGAAUGUUCACCAGUAACACAUACAAAUUAAUCUUAGGGCUGCGUGCAGUGGCUCAUGCCUGUAAUCCCAGCACUUUGGGAGGCUGAGGCCGAGGCUGGUGGAUGGCCUAAGGUCAGGAGUUUGAGACCAGCUGACCAACAUGGUGAAACCCUGUGUCUACUAAAAAUAGGAAAACUAUCCAGGCAUGGUGGCGGGCACUGUAAUCCCAGCUACUCAGGAGGCUGAGGCAGGAGAAUCGCUUGAAUCCGGGAAGCAGAGGCUGCAGUGAGCCGAGAUCGCACCAUUGCACUCCAGCCUGAGCAACAAGAGUGGAACUCUGUCUCAAAAAAAAUAAAAGACCCGGUGUGGUGGCUCAUGCCUGUAAUCCCAACGCUCUUUGGGAGGCUGAGGCAGGCGUAUCACCAGGUCAGGAGUUGGAGAUCAGCCUGACCAACAUGGUGAAACCCUGUCUCUACUAAAAAUACAAAAAUUAGCCGGGUGUGGUGGCACACACCUGUAAUCGCAGCUACUCAGGAGGCUGAGACAGGAGAAUUGCUUGAACCUGGGAGGCAGAGGUUGCAGUGAGCUGAGAUCAUGCCACAUUUGAACCCGUGAGGCAGACGUUGCAGUGAGCCGAGAUCAUGUCACUGCACUCCAGCCUGGGCAACAGAGCCAGACUGUCUCAAAAAAAAAAAAAAAAUCUUACUUCUAUAGACAAUAAAACAUUGGAAACUGAAGUUAAAAACACAGUAGCUCCUGAGAGAGAGAGAGAGGUAUAAAUCUAACAAGACAAAACAGGAUCUGUAUGCUAAAAAGACUAUGUAUGUGGAGAGACGGCACACAGCACGCUCAUAGACUGGAAGACUGAACAUAAGAUGCCAGUCUCAGAAGGAUCUGUGAAAUUAACAAAAUUCCAAAACAUUGCAGUAGGACUCUUUUUAGAUUUAGAAAAGAUGAUUUUAAAAUGUAUACAGAAUGGUGAAGGAGCUAGCUAAAACAGUAAAAAGGAUAGAUAAAACAAUGUUUUAAAAAGAACAAAAAAGUUAGAUGAAUCACAUUACACAGUUUUAACAGACUUUAAAGCCACAAAAAUCAAGACUGUCGUAUUGGCAAAGAACAGACAGAUGGGUCAGUGAUCAGAGAGUCUAGAAACAGACCCACAUAAAUAGGGCCAUUUGAUCUUUGACAGCAGUGCAAACAAAAGCAACCCUGUGGAGAAAGGAUUGUCCAUUCAACAGAGCAGUGGGGCAGUUGGUCAUCCAUAUGGUAGAAAUGGAACCUUGGCCUAAACCUCACAUUGUACACAAUUAACUCCAAUCAUAUGUAAACGUAAAACAAAACUAUAAAAUGUUUGGAAGAAAACAGAAAAAUACCUUUGUACCUGAUGACAUUUGGUAGAGUUCUUAGACAUGAUCCCAAAGGCAUAAUCCACAGAAGAAUCCAUAAAAGAAAAAUUUGUAAAUUGGACUUUAUCAAAAUUAAAAACUUACUUUUUUGAGAUAGGGUCAUGCUGUGUUGUCCAGGCUGGAGUGUGGUGGUAAGUCAUAGUUCACUGCAGCCUCGACCUCCCGGGCUCAAGCCAUCUUCCUUCCUCAGCCUCCUGAGUAGCUGGGACUAGAGGUGCAAGCCACUAUUCCUGGUUUUAAAAAUUUUUUCCAGAGUCUGAGUCUUGCUGUAUUGCCCAGGCUGGUCUCAAAUUCCUAGCCUUAAGUGAUCCUUCCACCUUCGGCCCCAAAGUAGUUGAGAUUACAGGCAUGAGCCACCGUGCCUGACCUAAAAACGUUUGAACUACCAAAGACAGUGUGAAAAGAAUGAAAAGAUGAGGAGAAAAUAUUCACAAAUCACCUGUCAACUAAGGACCUGUAUUUGGAAUACACAGAGAACUCUUAAAACUCAACAGUAAGAAAACAGUCCAACUAAAAAGUGGAAAAGACCUGAUCAGACAUGCACCAGCAAUGACACAGCAUUGACUGUUGGGCACAGGAGAAGAGGCUUGACACCACCAGCCACCAGGAAAUGCAGAUUCAGCCACCACGCAGGACACGAGGCACCUGCACCACAGCCGCAGUGCAAGAGAAUGCUGGUGGUGCCCCAAGCUGCCAGGGUGUGGACCUGCUGGAAAUGGAAGACGGCAUGGUGGUUUCCUAUAAAGUUCAAUGUACACAGCCACAUGACCCAGCAAUCCCACUGUUGGGUAUUUAGAGAAUGAAAAACUUAAGUCCACAUAAAAACUGUACGUA